AUUGCGUCAAUAACAAUUGAAAUAGUCUCUAGCCGAUUUACAGAGCCCAGAGCCUGAACCCCCUGGAGCAAGCCCCAAGGUGUCUGCACCGCGUGAGAAGAGGUGUAUCCAGGACUCCUGCACUGCUGUGUACCCCCAGAUACUGCACAGAUAACUGGGUGUGUCUGGGAGUGUGCUGUCCUGUCACACAAUAUGUGCCAUGUUUAGGGGCCUGUCUGGAGCCAUUCGUUGCCAUGGUGGCAUACAUACAUACCUGGUAGUCAUGGUGAUUGUAGGAGUACGCUGGGUUGUGGGGGUGUUACAGAGGUAGUCAUGGUGAUUGUAGGAGUACGCUGGGUUGUGGGGGUGUUGCAGAGGUAGUCAUGGUGAUUGUAGGAGUACGCUGGGUUGUGGGGGUGUUACAGAGGUAGUCAUGGUGCAUCCUGGAAGGGCUAUCGUGGCAUACAAGGCGAGACUUGACAGACUUGCUAGUUUCCUAACUGAUUUAUUUCAAAAAUACAAUUGGCAACUUUUUAAAAGCUGUUCUUGGUGUGUUGCAGCUUAUGCUUAGAGAGAAAUGAUAAAUAUUGCAAGACAAUUUGAGGCAAGUUUUGUAGGAACAUACCACAUUAUGAAACCAAUGAGAUUUUCAUAUUUAUUCUUUGGCCAUAAAGAAACUUGUACUGGCACAACAAGAAAGAAAAGAAAAUAUAUAUAUAUAUACACAUACACAUUUAUGUAAACGUAUGAAUAUAAUUCACAGAGAGGUAUUAAUGCAGAAGGACCAUGCCUCCCAAGAGCAGAAAUGUGAGGCCCUGACAUAAUAGGUUCAAGCAUAAUAAAUGAUCGACAAGAGUUCUUCACUGAGAGACACACAAGAGGUAUGAAUCCCUCUACUCUCUAUGGUCCCCUGGAUCCCUCUACUCUCUAUGGUCCCCGAGGGCACUGACACUAAAUGAUCCACAGAUGAAGACUGGCCAUUACUCAUCACUGAUAUGAAAUAAACAACAGGUAACUCUUUCAUGCUACAAUAACACACUUAAUAACACUAGAACUCCAACACAUGUCUAAUCAUGUCACCUCCUGCCUGCCUCUCACACACACACACACACACACUACAUUCCACAUUUCUGACCAUAUCUGACUUUGAUCAGCAAGUUUAACAGUGAACCUAAAAUGAUCCUGAGCAGACUCAGCAAACAGUCAGUAUAAUGGCACUGUUUCAGGUCAAAUAAAUAGCACCAUCAAUCAA
Clupea harengus (Atlantic herring) is the source of this 1231-nucleotide long non-coding RNA. The record is from Ensembl. Lineage: Eukaryota; Metazoa; Chordata; Actinopteri; Clupeiformes; Clupeidae.